This 484-nucleotide ribosomal RNA is filed under the name uncultured bacterium. RNAcentral describes it as "partial 16S ribosomal RNA". It matches the Rfam family "Bacterial small subunit ribosomal RNA", at positions 30 to 507 of the family's 1533-position model. The record is from RNAcentral.
AUUGAACGCUGGCGGCAGGCCUAACACAUGCAAGUCGAGCGGAUGAAGGGAGCUUGCUCCUGGAUUCAGCGGCGGACGGGUGAGUAAUGCCUAGGAAUCUGCCUGGUAGUGGGGGAUAACGUCCGGAAACGGGCGCUAAUACCGCAUACGUCCUUAUGGAGAAAGUUGGGGAUCUUCGGACCUCACGCUAUCAGAUGAGCCUAGGUCGGAUUAGCUAGUUGGUGGGGUAAAGGCCUACCAAGGCGACGAUCCGUAACUGGUCUGAGAGGAUGAUCAGUCAAACUGGAACUGAGACACGGUCCAGAAUACUAAGGGAGGCAGCAGUGGGGAAUAUUGGACAAUGGGCGAAAGCCUGAUCCAGCCAUGCCGCGUGUGUGAAGAAGGUCUUCGGAUUGUAAAGCACUUUAAGUUGGGAGGAAGGGAAGUAAGUUAAUACCUUGCUGUUUUGACGUUACCAACAGAAUAAGCACCGGCUAACUUCGUG